AUGGGAAGUGAAAUACUACAAGCUUUGGGUGGAGUGGAAGGAAAAUUAAAAGGAUUGAAGCUCUCAGAGGCAGAGAAGAAAGUGAUUAAAAUCGGAAAGAAGAGCGGAAAUCACUUGAGAGUGGGAAAGCUCCAAGCAGUGGGGAAGCUUUUGUCGGACAGACCGGCGAAAUCUGAACAUUUGGGGAGGACAUUAGCAGGAGUUUGGUGCCCCUUCUAUGGAUUGGAGUGCAAGGAUCUUGGUAAGAAUCGUUUCUUGUUUUGUUUUCGUGAAGAGAAGGGAAAAAUGAAGGCAGUAGAAAAUGGACCAUGGUUUUUCAAUAAAAGCUUGCUGGUGAUGGAAGAUUUUGCGCCCAAUAAAACCAUAGAUGAAUAUCAAUUUAAGACCAUACCGAUAUGGGUAAGGGUGUAUGGUAUUUCGAUGGGGAUGAUGGAUAGAGAAACAGGGGUUUUAAUUGGGGAACAGAUCGGUGAAGUCUUGGAUAUGGAGGUGGAUGAUAAUGGUUUUGCAUUUGGGCAAUUUAUGAGGAUCAAAGUAAGAAUGGACAUCACUAUACCACUGAUGAGAAGGAUCACUAUUGAGGGUGAGGAGGAAGAUGAGCAGUACCAGAAGAAGGGAUUAAUGGGAGAAGGGUGUAAUGAAGAAAAGAAUGAGGAGGAAGAGCAGAAGAAAGUGGUUUCAUUUGAAUACGAACAUUUACCAGACUUCUGCUACAAUUGUGGGAUCAUUGGUCACAGUGAAAAAAAUUGCACAACGAAAACAGAACAUGAAGGUAGUCGACAGUAUGGUCCAUGGUUGCGUGCAGCAACCUAUAAAGGGAGUUCCAGUGAUGAGAAGAGCAGAGAAUCAAGUGAGAAAGGUGAUUUCUGUAAAGGUAACAACGUGGGAAGCAAGGGCAGUAGGCAGGGAAGGGUUGGUCCAUCAUGGAAAGAGAUUCCACCAAGCGGGCGAGCUGACAACAGAAAAAAAGAGAUGAGAAGGAAAUUACAAGCCCCUUAA
Molecule: ribosomal RNA, 999 nt
Filed under: Triticum aestivum (bread wheat)
Lineage: Eukaryota; Viridiplantae; Streptophyta; Magnoliopsida; Poales; Poaceae
Description: partial small subunit ribosomal RNA
Source: RNAcentral